This 158-nucleotide unclassified non-coding RNA is filed under the name uncultured Leotiomycetes. Its description in RNAcentral is "sequence contains ITS1". Lineage: Eukaryota; Fungi; Ascomycota; Leotiomycetes. The record is from RNAcentral.
CAGAGUUCGUGCCCUCACGGGUAGAUCUCCCACCCUGUGUUAUUAUACCUUUGUUGCUUUGGCGGGCCGCCCUCGGCUACCGGCCCCGGCUGGUACGCGCCCGCCAGAGGACCCUAAACUCUUGUUUACAGUGUCGUCUGAGUACUAUACAAUAGUUA